CCUACGGGAGGCAGCAGUAAGGAAUAUUGGUCAAUGGACGAAAGUCUGAACCAGCCAUGCCGCGUGAAGGAUUAAGGCCCUCUGGGUUGUAAACUUCUUUUAUCUGGGACGAAAAAAGGGUAUUCUUACUCACUUGACGGUACCAGAGGAAUAAGCACCGGCUAACUCCGUGCCAGCAGCCGCGGUAAUACGGAGGGUGCAAGCGUUAUCCGGAUUUACUGGGUUUAAAGGGUGCGUAGGUGGGCUUGUAAGUCAGUGGUGAAAUCUCCGGGCUUAACCCGGGAAACUGCCAUUGAUACUAUAGGUCUUGAAUUAUCUGGAGGUAAGCGGAAUAUGUCAUGUAGCGGUGAAAUGCUUAGAUAUGACAUAGAACACCAAUUGCGAAGGCAGCUUACUACGGAUAUAUUGACACUGAGGCACGAAAGCGUGGGGAUCAAACAGGAUUAGAUACCCUGGUAGUCCACGCCCUAAACCGAUGGAUACUCGACAUCAGCGAUACACUGUUGGUGUCUGAGCGAAAGCAUUAAGUAUCCACCUGGAGUACGAUCGCAGAUUGAAACUUAAUGAAUUGACGGCUGAGAGNGCGAGACGACACGAGGAGGAGG
Molecule: ribosomal RNA, 605 nt
Filed under: uncultured bacterium
Lineage: Bacteria
Description: bacterial SSU rRNA
Rfam family: Bacterial small subunit ribosomal RNA
Source: RNAcentral